GCCCGUCCCCAUCUGCGGGCUUUCCAAGGUGCUGUGCUGGGGUUUGCCGAGGCCCGGGUCAACCAGCCGACGGUGGCGGAACGGCGGGCAGGUCGGCGGAGUUAGAUGGCCGCAAAGGUGGGCAGGCUCGGUGUGAUAAGGUUCCAACUGGGUCUGAUCGCUUCCGUCCGCGAGCGCCGGGUCCACCAAAUGUCGGCGGCGAGCGCUGGCUUUGAUGGUUAACUUGGGAUUUCUAAGGUAUUCUGUGGACAGUCGAGGGCUGGAAAAAAAACAGAAACAUGAAUUUGAUUGGUUUCACAAGAGACAUGGCAGACCAAAGAACAUACGAUGAGUACUUUGCUAAAUGCCCUGUUUAUUCUCCCAACCGGGCUCAUAAAAGUACGGACACAUUUGGUGGGUUGAGAGAUCUCUAUGUAGUCGUGACCCUGUAAUUAUACUUGACGAGAGCGGUGAUGACAGACAGGCGGCACAGAAAUCUGCCCUUCUUUGGUGCCAAUUGAGCAUGGUGACAACAGAUUAAAAAUGGCCUAUGUCUCAAGUUGAAGGUCCUGUUUUUCUGCUCUGGUC
Molecule: long non-coding RNA, 567 nt
Filed under: Homo sapiens (human)
Lineage: Eukaryota; Metazoa; Chordata; Mammalia; Primates; Hominidae
Description: non-protein coding lnc-SYT10-3:3
Source: RNAcentral